CUCUCCCUUCUUUCCCAUGCCUGUGGGCAUGACUGUCGGCGACAGGAGUCAUCAAAUUUUGUCGGAGAAGAAAGCCCCUGUUCGGCCUCUUCUUUUUCCUGAUUUUUGUGGCACUGACAGUCACUGCCGACUGUCGGCCUUGGCCUCUCCGAGCUUGGGAGGGUGACCUCUCAUCGUCAGCCACCGCCAUGCAGGGUAUGGCUGUGAUCGGUCGGUCAAAGGCAAGGGGACCUCUAGGUCCCCAAUUUCGGCCAAAGA
Molecule: long non-coding RNA, 258 nt
Filed under: Elaeis guineensis (African oil palm)
Lineage: Eukaryota; Viridiplantae; Streptophyta; Magnoliopsida; Arecales; Arecaceae
Description: long non-coding RNA (EGUI_LNC063175)
Source: RNAcentral